RNAcentral lists this ribosomal RNA (492 nucleotides) under uncultured bacterium. RNAcentral describes it as "partial 16S ribosomal RNA". It matches the Rfam family "Bacterial small subunit ribosomal RNA", at positions 29 to 507 of the family's 1533-position model. The record is from RNAcentral.
AGUGAACGCUGGCGGUAGGCCUAACACAUGCAAGUCGAACGGCCGCACAGUAAGAUCUUGCUCUUACGGGUGGCGAGUGGCGGACGGGUGAGGCAUACAUCGGAAUCUACUUUUUCGUGGGGGAUAACGUAGGGAAACUUACGCUAAUACCGCAUACGACCUACGGGUGAAAGCAGGGGAUCUUCGGACCUUGCGCGACUGAAUUAGCCGAUGUCGGAUUAGCUAGUUGGCGGGGUAAAGGCCCACCAAGGCGACGCUCCGUAGCUGGUCUGAGAGGAUGAUCAGCCACACUGGAACUGAGACACGGUCCAGACUCCUACGGGAGGCAGCAGUGGGGAAUAUUGGACAAUGGGCGCAAGCCUGAUCCAGCCAUGCCGCGUGGGUGAAGAAGGCCUUCGGGUUGUAAAACCCUUUUGUUGGGAAAGAAAAGCAGCAGGUUAAUCCCCCGCUGUUCUGACGGUACCCAAAGAGUAAGCAACGGCUAACUUCGUG